This 694-nucleotide long non-coding RNA is filed under the name Olea europaea subsp. europaea. Lineage: Eukaryota; Viridiplantae; Streptophyta; Magnoliopsida; Lamiales; Oleaceae. The record is from RNAcentral.
UUUAUGUGAAGAAAAAAAAAAAAAGACAUUUCCUUCAAAAUAUUGAUACAAUACAUAGUACGUACACAUUAAGAAGCAUUAUAUUUAUUAUUAUUUAUUUCUGUCACUCAAUUCACACGAGUUAAAAAGGAAAGGGGUUAUCUUGAAAUUUACAAUUAAAAAAAUUUAGAAAAAUUCGAAAACAGUAUGUUAAAGCAAUAACAGGCUCAGAUCUGUUGUUGAAUCGGAGAAGAGAAUCGACCUCGCCAUGGCUGCAGAAUUACAGGUUGCAUAUGAAAAGGAAAAUCCAAAUUCACAUACCAUCCAGAUCGCCACGCCAAGAUACGGGUCGAAUUAUCUGAACCUCCGAUCUAUAAGCUUGGAAGAUUUAAGAAACAUCAUCAUAGCCUAUUAUUCGAGGAUCAAACUGGUAACCACACAUUCCUUCGGACCUCAAAAUCACUUCCAAACAAGCUCUCUAAGUGUAUGUUUGUCUUUCGAUAUAAUGGUUGUCAAACAGGAGCUAAAUUAAACCAUUUAUAAAUAGUUUCCAAACGGAGGAUGAAAUAUAAAAACGUAAAAGGCCUCGUAAUAGGAAACCAUAGGAAAUUUUCUGUAUGAAGGGCGGUUGAUUUUGGUUCAAAAUCAUUGGCCGUACAGAGAGGGGUAACCACCCUUAAAGAAUUCCCAGUCUCUCUGUAAACCUCAUUCUUCU